GAUGAACGCUGGCGGCGUGCUUAACACAUGCAAGUCGAACGGAAAGGCUCCUGCUUGCAGGGGUACUCGAGUGGCGAACGGGUGAGUAACACGUGGGUGAUCUGCCCUGCACUUCGGGAUAAGCCUGGGAAACUGGGUCUAAUACCGGAUAGGACGAUGGUUUGGAUGCCAUUGUGGAAAGUUUUUCGGUGUGGGAUGAGCUCGCGGCCUAUCAGCUUGUUGGUGGGGUAAUGGCCUACCAAGGCGUCGACGGGUAGCCGGCCUGAGAGGGUGUACGGCCAAAUGGGGACUGAGAUACGGCCCAGACUCCUACGGGAGGCAGCAGUGGGGAAUAUUGCACAAUGGGCGCAAGCCUGAUGCAGCGACGCCGCGUGGGGGAGGACGGCCUUCGGGUGGUAAACUCCUUUCGCUAGGGACGAAGCGCAAGUGACGGUACCUGGAGAAGAAGCACCGGCUAACUACGU
RNAcentral lists this ribosomal RNA (464 nucleotides) under uncultured bacterium. Its description in RNAcentral is "partial 16S ribosomal RNA". It matches the Rfam family "Bacterial small subunit ribosomal RNA", at positions 28 to 506 of the family's 1533-position model. The record is from RNAcentral.